UGAGUCAAAAAGACGAUUGCGAAUGCGCUAGUGUUCCGCCAAUUUUAAAACUGCAAAUUAAAUUUACGGAAAAAGAUCUGUGAAGAAAUUGUAGUUUCAGAGUUGGUGGAGCACUAGGGCGUAUUUGAGGAAAGUCCGAGCUCCGUAGGGCAGGGUGCUGGAUAACGUCCAGCGAGGGUGACCUCAGGGAAAGUGCCACAGAAAUGUAGACCGCCUGGUAUUUGCCAGGUAAGGAUGGAACGGUGCGGUAAGAGCGCACCAGCAAUCAGGUGACUGAUUGGCUAGGUAAACCCCACUUGGAGCAAGACCGAAUAGGGAAGGGAUGAAGCUGCCCGCUGAGCCUUCCGGGUUGCGUCGCUUGAGCUGUCAGGCAACUGGCAGCCUAGAUAAAUAAUCGUCACCGCGCUAGCGGAACAGAACUCGGCUUAUUGAUGACUCAUAAU
Molecule: RNase P RNA, 443 nt
Filed under: Propionispora vibrioides
Lineage: Bacteria; Bacillati; Bacillota; Negativicutes; Selenomonadales; Sporomusaceae
Description: Bacterial RNase P class A
Rfam family: Bacterial RNase P class A
About the family: Ribonuclease P (RNase P) is a ubiquitous endoribonuclease, found in archaea, bacteria and eukarya as well as chloroplasts and mitochondria.
Source: RNAcentral